Xenia sp. Carnegie-2017 is the source of this 1532-nucleotide long non-coding RNA. RefSeq lists it as uncharacterized. Lineage: Eukaryota; Metazoa; Cnidaria; Anthozoa; Malacalcyonacea; Xeniidae. The transcript is spliced from 2 exons. The record is from RefSeq and is a predicted model, not a curated record.
AUGUUUACGAAUCUGGGACUUAGAUGCUCGAGGAUUUCAUAAAAGCAUGUGGAGAUUAUGGUUAAAGGGUAAUCACGUGUUAAUUGUUGGAUCACCGGCUUCACCUUACGCCAAACAUAAACCAAUUAACGUAAAACCUAUUUUCAUUCCUAAAAAAAUCGGAGACUGCGUGAUCAUCUUUGAUUAGAGAUAUCAUUCGUUUAUCAUGCGGCAUUUAAGCUAAAUGAAUGUGGGGAAAUCUUGAAGUUUAAAAAAACUUUAAUGUAAAUGUGAUUGGAUAAAUUUUCAUCAUGGUUUGAUCAAGGAAAUGAACUCGUUGAACAAGGAAUAUAAGAGGAAAAAGAUAACUUUCAAUUUGUUCAGUUUUACUGUUAAUAAUGUAAUUUUAAGGAUUACAACCACGGAAAAGAAACAAUCGCGCUUUUCCCACAAAACAUUUACCGCAUUUGAAAGUCCUGCUAUCGUUACAUCGCUAAAGAUAAUUAUUUGAAAACGAACUUACCUCUCAUUCUUUCCCUUUGUCCCAUCCUAUUAGGAUUGCUAAAAUGAAUCACUUGCUACCAUUUAGUUCUGUCAAUAAAAUUCUCUCGUUAAAUUAUUACAUUACAUUUUACAAUGGCAAGUCAUAUUAUUGCAAUAAGCAGGGCUCCAAUGUUCAUAAUAAGUAUUGAGCACGACAAAAGCUUUUCUAUAACAUGUGGGUGAUUCCCACGUGAAUAAAUUACAAGCUUUUGAUAUGCCUUCUAAUUUAUUUGUUGACGUAACAAGUUGAAUAAAGGUGGUCAGGUGGGAGAAAAAUGAUAACUCUCCAAGCUAUGGUGCAUUGAAUUGCGGUUUUGGGUGAGAUAAUUUUUUGUUCAUACUAGAUAAAAUUUACCACAACACGACAUGCUCUGUCUGCCGUCAUAACCUUACAAUCAUUGAUUUCGCAAACUCUUCAUUGAGGAAACAAAAGAAAUAUUCUUUUGUUUUCUCCAAACCUCUGGGGAAAAGGCUUUGCUUUCUUUUACUAACCAAUGUCGUUAGUUAACUUAUAACCAGGCUUAAUUCCUUUUGUCUUUGCCCUGCAUAUAUUUUCAUGCAAUCAAUGAAUUUAAUCCCUUUUUAUCAUGGUUUGAACAAAAUUGACGAAUGAAUUAAUAAUUAAUUCAUGUGAUAUAUGAAAGUUAUCAGAAGAAAAAGUAGGGUCUUUCACUUCGAUAACCCUAUUUGACCGAGCUGUUCGUCUGGGAAAGGUGAAAGUCUGUUGAAAGUCGAAGACAGCCUUCAAGAAAUGCGACUACUUGUUGGAAAGGACGAGCAACUGAAGACAUGACACGGUUGAGAUAUUUUAGCCAUGUUUGAAAGCGGCAGGUUAAAUACAGAAAAAUCGUCGAUGACAUAAAGAUCAUAUUCAAAGCAUCGUUAUGAGUCCUAUUUGUUCGAAGGAAUGAUCGAUUUCUUAGUAUUUCUAUGUUUCGAUCUUGGAGCACAAAAAUGCCGUCAAGUUUCAGUUACAUAUUGAAGUGAGAACACGAACGAAACUGCCAAAA